This 936-nucleotide ribosomal RNA is filed under the name Amanita rajendrae. Its description in RNAcentral is "LSU rRNA". It matches the Rfam family "Eukaryotic large subunit ribosomal RNA", at positions 52 to 945 of the family's 3401-position model. The record is from RNAcentral. Lineage: Eukaryota; Fungi; Basidiomycota; Agaricomycetes; Agaricales; Amanitaceae.
UGGGGAAAACCUUAACCAAGGGGGAUUCCCCUUAGUAACUGCGAGUGAAGCGGGAAAAGCUCAAAUUUGAAAUCUUGUAGUCUUUUUUUUCUUCUUUGGCUGUCCGAGUUGUAAUCUAGAGAAGUGCUUACCUGUGCUGGACCAUGUAUAAGUCUCCUGGAAUGGAGCGUCACAGAGGGUGAGAAUCCCGUCUUUGACAUGGACUGCUAGCAUGUUGUGGUGUGCUCUCAAAGAGUCGAGUUGUUUGGGAAUGCAGCUCUAAAUGGGUGGUAAACUCCAUCUAAAGCUAAAUAUUGGCGAGAGACCGAUAGCGAACAAGUACCGUGAGGGAAAGAUGAAAAGGACUUUGGAAAGAGAGUUAAACAGUAUGUGAAAUUGUUGAAAGGGAAACACUUGAAGUCAGUUAUGUUGGCUAGGGAUCAACCUAGCUGUUUGCUGGGUGAUUUUCCUGGUCUGACAGGCCAACAUCAGUCUUGGCUGCUGGAAAAGAGCAGAGGGAAUGUGGCACCUUUGGGUGUGUUAUAGCCCUUUGUCACAUGUGGCAGUUGGGACUGAGGGAUGCAGCGUGCCGCGAGGCUGGGUUUCGACCACGUUCACGCUUAGGAUGUUGGCUUAUAAUGGCUUCAAUUGACCCGUCUUGAAACACGGACCAAGGAGUCUAACAUGCCUGCAAGUGUUUGGGUGGGGAAAACCCUUGUGCACAAUGAAAGUGAAAGUUGAGAUCCCUGUCAUGGGGAGCAUCGACGCCCGGACCUGAGCUUUUAGCGACGGAUCUGCGGUAGAGCAUGCAUGUUGGGACCCGAAAGAUGGUGAACUAUGCCUGAAUAGGGCAAAGCCAGAGGAAACUCUGGUGGAGGCUAAGGAGGGAUUCUGACGUGCAAAUCGAUCGUCAAAUUUGGGUAUAGGGGCCGAAAAGACCUAAUUCUGGUACCCCCG